Molecule: ribosomal RNA, 253 nt
Filed under: uncultured bacterium
Lineage: Bacteria
Description: partial 16S ribosomal RNA
Rfam family: Bacterial small subunit ribosomal RNA
Source: RNAcentral
UACGUAGGGGGCGAGCGUUGUCCGGAAUUAUUGGGCGUAAAGAGCGUGUAGGCGGCUUGGUAAGUCUGUCGUGAAAUGCUGGGGCUCAACCCUGGACGUGCGAUGGAUACUGCUUGGCUAGAGGAUGGUAGAGGCGAGUGGAACUCCCGGUGUAGCGCUGAAAUGCGCAGAUAUCGGGAGGAACACCAGUAGCGAAGGCGGCUCGCUGGGCCAUUCCUGACGCUGAGAUACGAAAGCUAGGGGAGCAAACAGG